UACAGCGGGGGCAAGCGUUGUUCGGAAUUACUGGGCGUAAAGGGCGCGUAGGCGGCCUGUUAAGUCGAACGUGAAAUCCCCGGGCUCAACCCGGGAACUGCGUCCGAUACUGGCAGGCUUGAAUCCGGGAGAGGGAUGCGGAAUUCCAGGUGUAGCGGUGAAAUGCGUAGAUAUCUGGAGGAACACCGGUGGCGAAGGCGGCAUCCUGGACCGGUAUUGACGCUGAGGCGCGAAAGCCAGGGGAGCAAACGGG
This 253-nucleotide ribosomal RNA is filed under the name uncultured bacterium. Its description in RNAcentral is "partial 16S ribosomal RNA". It matches the Rfam family "Bacterial small subunit ribosomal RNA", at positions 524 to 776 of the family's 1533-position model. The record is from RNAcentral.